This 467-nucleotide ribosomal RNA is filed under the name uncultured bacterium. RNAcentral describes it as "partial 16S ribosomal RNA". It matches the Rfam family "Bacterial small subunit ribosomal RNA", at positions 330 to 793 of the family's 1533-position model. The record is from RNAcentral.
UCCAGACUCCUACGGGAGGCAGCAGUGAGGAAUAUUGGUCAAUGGGCGGAAGCCUGAACCAGCCAAGUCGCGUGAGGGAAGAAGGCCCUACGGGUUGUAAACCUCUUUUGUCAGGGAGCAAGGUGCAGGUCGGGACCUGCUGUGAGAGUACCUGAAGAAAAAGCAUCGGCUAACUACGUGCCAGCAGCCGCGGUAAUACGUAGGGGGCAAGCGUUGUUCGGAAUGACUGGGCGUAAAGGGUGCGUAGGCGGUGUAGCAAGUUAGAAGUGAAAUACCUAGAGCUUAACUCAGGUGCUGCUUCUAAAACUGCUAUACUUGAGUGCAGUAGAGGAAAGUGGAAUUCCUAGUGUAGCGGUGGAAUGCGUAGAUAUUAGGAGGAACAUCAGUGGCGAAGGCGACUUUCUGGACUGUAACUGACGCUGAGGCACGAAAGUGUGGGGAGCAAACAGGAUUAGAUACCCCAGUAA